Molecule: long non-coding RNA, 1832 nt
Organism: Alosa sapidissima (American shad)
Lineage: Eukaryota; Metazoa; Chordata; Actinopteri; Clupeiformes; Clupeidae
Exons: 3
Source: RefSeq, a predicted model, not a curated record
UCCAAAAUUGGCUCAUUUCACAUGGAGAGACCCAAAGAAAGGCUGUGAGUGCUUCUUCAUGAAGUGCUACCUGCUGGAGCUAAACGUCUACUGGGAAGAAAACGAAAUCGUUCAGGACCCUAUAUUAACAGACAACCUUGAAGCCAUAGAGGAAUGCCUUGAAAAGAAGUCCAAUAUCUGCUCACCAUGUGAAGCUCAACCGUUUGCCAAUAUUUCUAUGUUCUCCUCAAGUCUGAAUGACACUUUAGAUUACUUUAGUACGCUGGGCAAUGACGAAGACAUUUACUGCACCUGUUAAUGUUUAAAGUCCAUUCUUCCUGAGGAUCUGCUGCUUUUUGCUGUUUGACUUCAAGCACAUUGAUAAAAUGGGCUAUAUUGUGAACAAAACAAUGUAAGCUAAUAUGCAAUCCACAAAGUUGUAAAAUUGUAAUACAUACCCACAAAAAGUCAGGGAUAUUCGGCUUUCGGGUGAAAUUUCAGCAUGAAACCUUUACAGGUGAACUUAAUGUGACCUCUAAACUUUUGUAUGCGCAUGUCCAACAGUUCAGUGUUUCAGUACUUUCUGUACUGAAUCAUUAAAUUUCACCCGAAAGCCAGAUAUCCCUAACCUUUUCUGAGUAGUGUAAGUUGUAAGCUAUUAUGUAUGAAUCUUUUUUAUAUUUAAGAAUCUUAUAGAAUAUACUAUGCACUAUGUUUUUUUUACGACACAUUUUGAAUGUCAGGAAUAUAUAUGAUAGUGCAUGAUACUAUUUUCUCUUACAAUAUUGCCUUUUCCUUUAUAAUGAUACUUUGACUGUAAAGACAAACGUGUUACAAGGCAUGCAAGGUAGACUUAGUGGGUUUGCCAGGAGUGCAGGCUUAAGGGGGGCUCAUUACUGGGCAUAGGAGAUCCAUGUUCCACCUGUUUGAUGGCACCAAUGCCACUGACAUUGUUAAGUUCCGUUCCCCCUGGAAACAACUCUGCUCUGGAAUUACUCAGGCCACUGCCCCUAGAAAAGAAAUCUCAUUAGCGCUGCGAUCUGACUCAUCAGAAGUGAGGUGGUGGAGAGGCAACAGGAUGGUGGUGCCAGCGUUGACCAGAGAUUUCCUGAUUCCUGUCGCCUGCUGCAGGUCAGUGAGGAGCAGCAGGGCUGAGUUUUGGGCGUAGCUGCCCCAACCCCACCACUCCUCUCUCCCUUUGCCUCCAGCUCGCGGGUGAUCCUCUCUGCCACAAAGUCCUGCGUCCGUCCACAGCAGAUAGACAGCACACCAGGGCAGCCAGGUCCUGGGGCACCUUGGCGACAGUCCAACAUUCGGCCCGCACUGCAGGCAUGACUGCAGAUGUCCUCAGCGACUCAGAAUGUGCUGCGAACACAGGAAGUCCAAAUGUCUUUCAGCCACAAGCUUCUGACACAGAAAGCAUCGCAGACGCUCCAGAACCUCUCCCUGGACCUCCAACUGCUCAUCUGUAUUCCGCAACUCCUGGAGGUCCAUAGCUGCCAUUUUAUCCACAGUCUUGUUUUUGACGCAUAAACAGUUAGCUUGGUCAGUUCUCUCUGUCUUGUUACGCUACCACUUUUAUUUCUCUGUGUCAGAGAGCCAAGGAUAUAGUCAAUUUAUCUUCAAAGAUGAAGAAAAUAGAUAUAAUAUUUCCUAGAUAUAAUAGAUUUCUAUUUCUUACAUAUAAUAGAUAUUACAUCAGAUAACUUUCUCUAUCAAAACAGGCAUCUCACUUUGCUUGUUUCUGUGUCUGGCACCCAUACUAAAGUUGACUAAAAAGAGGAAUAUAAAAUCUUUUGGAAAUUGAUUAAUGUCUUUCAGUUACUGUAGCCUAUUAGCUGGUUUGAUUUGCA